AACUAGAAGACAAACAGCGAGAACAAUAAUUGCUUGAAAUCGGUAUGUUAGCGAGGAUUUGUGUGUCUACCUUUUCAACGUUCUUUUUUUCAUCUCUCAUAAUUAUAUCUCGAAUCUAUGUGGCUAUAUCAGAACGUGUUGUUUGCAGUGUGGUCACUGACCAAAGAAAAAGCCAAUGUGAGUGUGAAUUUUGAGGUUUACUUCGCCGCUUUUUCGUAUUUUCUAUUAUUUGAUCAUUUUGAUCAUUUGAUGCCUGUGAUUGUGAUGAAACGAUGAGCUACAGGUGCUAUGGGGUGGUUUUUGGCAAACAAAAACCGGGCCAAAACUGUUUUAAUUUAAUUUUGCGAAUUGUAGUCCAUCUGUUCGGAAAUCACUUCGUAAGACAAGUGAACAUUUAGCGAAUUUCCUAAUUGAUUCGGGGAUUUACGCUGAGCAGCCCACGUGAAAUGUGAAACCGUAGAACGACUUUAGUUGAUCGGAUUGUCUGACCCGGUGGAAACGAGAAGAUCACCGAAACGUAAAAUCAGCAAAACGAACAGAAGCAUUCAAAACGUCGCCUGAGGAAACCCCGGAGGUGGAAGUGUGUCUUCAUACAACAGAGGCAGCGACAGUGAAAGGCAUUUAUUUUUAAACACCAAAAAAAGCAUUUGAGGAAUUAGGUUCUGGCAGUUUUCGGGAAAGAGCUGCACUGUUUUGCCAAACACGGCCAGAACAAGGUUUGACGGUGGAAAUUUUCUAUUCCAAACGGAUACACGUGCUUCGGUUGUCAACGAUGCUGCUCACGAAUAAACUACACGGAGGAGUUUAGGGAAUUGAUUUAUGAUGCUCACGGCAUGACGAGGUGUGGAAACGGAACUAACAACACGCAUUUCAGCUGCGGAAGAAACAUGCAGUAAACUUGAUGCAGCGGAGAUAUCACAGGAAAAAUAUAAUGUGUCUAUUUGAUUAAUUUCUGA
Long non-coding RNA from Aedes aegypti (yellow fever mosquito), 956 nucleotides. RefSeq lists it as uncharacterized. The transcript has 2 exons. The record is from RefSeq and is a predicted model, not a curated record. NCBI's taxonomy places the organism in Eukaryota, Metazoa, Arthropoda, Insecta, Diptera, Culicidae.